Molecule: ribosomal RNA, 448 nt
Filed under: uncultured Porphyrobacter sp.
Lineage: Bacteria; Pseudomonadati; Pseudomonadota; Alphaproteobacteria; Sphingomonadales; Erythrobacteraceae
Description: bacterial SSU rRNA
Rfam family: Bacterial small subunit ribosomal RNA
Source: RNAcentral
GGAGCAUGUGGUUUAAUUCGAAGCAACGCGCAGAACCUUACCAGCCUUUGACAUCCUAGGACGACUUCUGGAGACAGAUUUCUUCCCUUCGGGGACCUAGUGACAGGUGCUGCAUGGCUGUCGUCAGCUCGUGUCGUGAGAUGUUGGGUUAAGUCCCGCAACGAGCGCAACCCUCGUCCUUAGUUGCCACCAUUAAGUUGGGCACUUUAAGGAAACUGCCGGUGAUAAGCCGGAGGAAGGUGGGGAUGACGUCAAGUCCUCAUGGCCCUUACAGGCUGGGCUACACACGUGCUACAAUGGCAUCUACAGUGGGCAGCUAUUCCGCAAGGAUGCGCUAAUCUCCAAAAGAUGUCUCAGUUCGGAUUGUCCUCUGCAACUCGAGGGCAUGAAGGCGGAAUCGCUAGUAAUCGCGGAUCAGCAUGCCGCGGUGAAUACGUUCCCAGGCCUU